UGGUGGGUAGUUUGACUGGGGCGGUCUCCUCCUAAAGAGUAACGGAGGAGCACGAAGGUUGGCUAAUCCUGGUCGGACAUCAGGAGGUUAGUGCAAUGGCAUAAGCCAGCUUGACUGCGAGCGUGACGGCGCGAGCAGGUGCGAAAGCAGGUCAUAGUGAUCCGGUGGUUCUGAAUGGAAGGGCCAUCGCUCAACGGAUAAAAGGUACUCCGGGGAUAACAGGCUGAUACCGCCCAAGAGUUCAUAUCGACGGCGGUGUUUGGCACCUCGAUGUCGGCUCAUCACAUCCUGGGGCUGAAGUAGGUCCCAAGGGUAUGGCUGUUCGCCAUUUAAAGUGGUACGCGAGCUGGGUUUAGAACGUCGUGAGACAGUUCGGUCCCUAUCUGCCGUGGGCGCUGGAGAAUUGAGGGGGGCUGCUCCUAGUACGAGAGGACCGGAGUGGACGCAUCACUGGUGUUCGGGUUGUCAUGCCAAUGGCACUGCCCGGUAGCUAAAUGCGGAAGAGAUAAGUGCUGAAAGC
Molecule: ribosomal RNA, 520 nt
Filed under: Escherichia coli
Lineage: Bacteria; Pseudomonadati; Pseudomonadota; Gammaproteobacteria; Enterobacterales; Enterobacteriaceae
Description: partial 23S ribosomal RNA
Rfam family: Bacterial large subunit ribosomal RNA
Source: RNAcentral